UACGUAGGGUGCAAGCGUUGUCCGGAAUCAUUGGGCGUAAAGAGCGCGUAGGCGGCCCAGUAAGUCCGCUCUGAAAGUCAGGGGCUCAACCCCUGAAUGCGGGUGGAUACUGCUGGGCUAGAGUCCGGAAGAGGCGAGUGGAAUUCCUGGUGUAGCGGUGAAAUGCGCGGAUAUCAGGAGGAACACCAAUGGCGAAGGCAGCUCGCUGGGACGGUACUGACGCUGAGGCGCGAAAGCGUGGGGAGCGAACAGG
This 253-nucleotide ribosomal RNA is filed under the name uncultured bacterium. Its description in RNAcentral is "partial 16S ribosomal RNA". It matches the Rfam family "Bacterial small subunit ribosomal RNA", at positions 524 to 776 of the family's 1533-position model. The record is from RNAcentral.